AUCUGUCUUAUUAUGUAUGACUCUCUUAGUAGUUGCCCAGUGAUUUACAACAUGCAUCUUUAACUAAUCAAAAAUUACUUUCAAAUGAUAUACCAUUUCAUGUACAAUUUAAGAAGCUUACAGUGGUAUACUACCAGGUCCUCUCCUCCAUAGUUGUGCCUUUUUUGUAAGAUAUUUAUUUUUAUGUAUGCUAUAAACCCACAAUACAUUGCUUCUAAUUUUUCUUUAAACCAGAGGUUGUCAAACUUUUUCUUAAAGGGCCAGAUAGCAAGUAUUUUAGUCUUUCAUUCCACACAGCCUCUAUUGCAACUGUUAACCCUGCCAUAAUAACUCAAAAGCAGCCAUAGAGAAUGUGGAGAAAAGGAAGCCCUCGUACAUUGUUGGUGGUAAUGUAAAUUGAUGCAGCCACUGUGGAAAACAGUAUAGAGGUUUCUCAAAAAGCUAAAAAUAGAACUACCAUGUGACCCAGCAAUUGCAUUGGGUGUAUAUCAAAAAAAACCUCCAAAAACAUUAAUUCAAAAAAAUACCUGCAUCCCAAUAUUCACAGCAGCAAUUUACAAUUGUGAAAAUAUGGAAGCAAACUAAUAUUCCACUGUAUAACCACAUCUUCUUUAUCCCUGCUUGAGAUCAUCAAAUCUCUUUAAGAGCAAUUAAAACAAGUUUAAAAAAUUUUUAUAUUUACCCUUCCUUUAACCAUUUCCAAUCAUCUUUAUUUCUUCUUAUAGAUCCAUAACUAUCUUUUAUCACAAUCUUUCUUCUUAAAAAACUUCGUUUAAUAUUUUUCAUAGCAAUGAUCUACUGGUAAUGAAUUAUGUCGGUUUUUGCUUGAAUUUUUUUUUAAUCAUUAGUUCUGGAGUUCCCUAGUGGCUCAUCAGGUUAAGGAUUCACUGUUGUCGCUGCUGUGGCUUGGGUCACUGCUGUGGCACAAGUUCGAUCCCUGUCCUGGGAACNGGGAACUUACACAUGCCCCAGGAAUGACCAAAAAAAAAAAAAAGAGUAAAUAAAAAAUCUUUAUUUCUUCUUCAUUUUUCGAAAUAUAUUUUAUCUGGGUAUAGAGUUCUGGGUUGACAGGUAUUUUUGUGUGUCAACAUUUUAAAGAUAUCACUUCAUUGUCUUCUGGUUUGCAUGAUUUCUGAUGAGGAUGCUACAAUUCUUGAAUUUGUUACUCUCUAUAUAAAUGGUUGCCCUGGCUGCCUUCAAGUUCUGUUUUUUGUUUUUGGUUUUCAGUAGUUUGAAUAUGAUUUUGUUUAGGUGAAAGAGAGAGAGAGAGAGUGUGUGUGUUUUUUGGUGUUUAUCCUAUUCUAUUUUGGUGUUUUGCUGUAACUUCUUCAUAGUCUUUGUAAUUUUAUGUUUUUCAUUAUUUUCUGAAAAUUUUUGGCUAUUAUUUCUUUAAAUAUUUCUUUUGCUACAUUCUUUGUUCUCUCUGUGGGAUUCCAAUAACUCAUAUGUUAGACUGAUUUAUAUUAUCUUACAGCUCUUGGAUUUUCCAGUUUUUCCACUCUUCUUCCUCUUUGUAUUUCAAUUUGGCCAAUUUUUAUUGACCUUUCUUUAAGUUCACAGAUUUUUUUUCCCUUGGCCUUGUUGAAUCUAGAUAAAGAUAAUCCUAUUAAAAGAAUUUGCCAUCUCCUAUCAAAAAUUAUUCAUAGUAUUUUUUCAUUACCAGCAUUUCAAUUGAUGAAUUUUACAGUUUCUAUCUCUCCGUCUGAAUUCUGUAUUGUUCAAAUCAACUUCAGAAAUGCCUUGAAGUACUCAGAAAUAGUCCCCUUCUCAACUCCUUUUGACUCCUGGGAGGAUAGGGAGGAGUCCUGGGCUGAAUUUGUCUGUAAGAAUAGCCUUUUGUAGAGGACACCCAGGAUAACAACCCAGGGAUUCUCCACUAGAGUCACAGAACCUCAGAAUUCUAGAAGCUGUCAUCUUGGAAUCUUGGAAACUAGGGUUCAAACAAAAUUCAUAAGAUUUUAGAGUUGAAUUUAAGAGCUUGAACACCUCAGGGGGUGGGAAUUUAUCAACUCACAAGGCAGCUGAACCCAAAGGGAGAAAGCCAUCUUGCUUCAAGUAGGAUGAUGUUACAGCACCACUAGGGGGAGUCCAGUCCCUGUCCAGAGCGUCACAGUCACUGUGAAAGCAGGAGCUCCCCUCCCCUAUUCUCUGCCUCCACAUACACUAGGAGUGACAUAGCCACUGAGCAGCAGAAGCAAAACCAAGGAAGAGCAGCACACACUUGUCUUCUUUAAAGUGUUACAUAAUGCUGUUGGAUAUGAAGUCUCAAUUCCUUCUCAUGAAAGGAAGGAAUAAAAAGACAAGACUGUGCCCUAGCCUCUUGAACAUCUUUUUCCUUAAAUUUGCUUUUCCAAAUCUUUGUUGAUAGUUCAAAUUGAUAAUAAAACAAAUUAUUAUAACCAGAGAAUAUUUCUAUUAAAACUAGAGAAUAAUUUUAACCUCACUAGGCUUCAAUAACCUCAUCUCUAAAGCAGGAUCAAUUUCUGUUUCCCUAUGAGGUUUUAAAAUGCUAUAAUGUAACAUCAAAAACGUUAAUGAUACAUUAAGCAACAAAGACAGAUAUUAGGAUAUAUAAUCAGGCAAUGUUAUUUGUAAAAAAAUGAAUGUAUGUGUGUGAAUGUGUAUAUGUGUUUUGUGUGUGCGUGUAUAAAAGAGGGGGCUAGGGAGUUCCCACCAUCGUGCAGCAGAAACGAAUCAGAUUAGGAACCAUGAGGUGGGUUCAAUUCCUGGCCUCGCUCAGGCUCAGUGGGUUAAGGAUCCGGUAUUGCCGUGAGCUAUGGUGUAGGCCGCAGACACAGCUCGGAUCUGGCAUUGGCAUUGUGCUGUAGGCCAGCAGCUACAGCUCCAGUAGACCCCUAGCCUGAGAACUUCCAUAUGCUGUGGGUACCGCCCUAAAAAGACAAAAAAAAAAAAAA
This 2915-nucleotide long non-coding RNA is filed under the name Sus scrofa (pig). RNAcentral's name for it is "lncRNA (ENSSSCG00050044638.1)". Lineage: Eukaryota; Metazoa; Chordata; Mammalia; Artiodactyla; Suidae. The record is from RNAcentral.